UUGCUUCAGCAGCACAUAUACUUACAGAGAAGAACUCUUUGCCCCUGUGCUAGGAUGACAUAUAAAUUUGUGAAGGGUUUCACAUUUUU
This 89-nucleotide small nuclear RNA is filed under the name Dipodomys ordii (Ord's kangaroo rat). Lineage: Eukaryota; Metazoa; Chordata; Mammalia; Rodentia; Heteromyidae. The record is from RNAcentral.